AUUCCAGCUCCAAUAGCGUAUAUUAAAGUUGUUGCAGUUAAAAAGCUCGUAGUUGGAUUUCUGGUGCAUUCCACUGGCCUAUUGGUUAACUCCAACUUGGCUCAUUUGGAAUACGCCAUCUUUAGGCAGACCCGUCGUGGCAUUAGGUUGUCGUGAUGGUUACGCCUAUCGUUUACUGUGAAGAAAUUAGGGUGUUCAAAGCAGGCUUAUGCCAUGAAUACGUUAGCAUGGAAUAAUGAGAUAGGAUUUCGGCACUAUUUUGUUGGUCUGUGUACGGAAAUAAUGAUUAACAGGAACAGUGUUGUGGGUAUUCGUAUUUCGUUGUCAGAGGUGAAAUUCUUGGAUUUACGAAAGACGAACGACUGCGAAAGCAUUUACCAAGGAUGUUUUCAUUA
RNAcentral lists this ribosomal RNA (395 nucleotides) under Leptocylindrus sp. RNAcentral's name for it is "partial small subunit ribosomal RNA". It matches the Rfam family "Eukaryotic small subunit ribosomal RNA", at positions 582 to 975 of the family's 1831-position model. Lineage: Eukaryota; Bacillariophyta; Leptocylindrophyceae; Leptocylindrales; Leptocylindraceae. The record is from RNAcentral.